Molecule: ribosomal RNA, 539 nt
Filed under: uncultured marine pelagophyte
Lineage: Eukaryota; Pelagophyceae
Description: bacterial SSU rRNA
Rfam family: Bacterial small subunit ribosomal RNA
Source: RNAcentral
AAUGCUUAAAGGCUUAACUUUAAAACUGCAACGGAAACUGCUAGGCUUGAGUACAGGUGAGGUAAAGGGAAUUUCCGGUGAAGCGGUGAAAUGCGUAGAUAUUGGAAGGAACACCAAUGGCGAAAGCACUCUACUGGACUUUUACUGACACUCAGAGACGAAAGCUAGGGUAGCAAAUGGGAUUAGAUACCCCAGUAGUCCUAGCCGUAAACGAUGGAUACUAAACAUUGCCUGCAUCGAUCCGCGUGGUGUUAUAGCUAACGCGUUAAGUAUCCCGCCUGGGAAGUAUGCUCGCAAGGGUGAAACUCAAAGGAAUUGACGGGGGCCCGCACAAGCGGUGGAGCAUGUGGUUUAAUUUGAUGCAACGCGAAGAACCUUACCAGGGUUUGACAUGGUGUUAAUUCUUUGAAAAAAAAAAUACGCCUUUCGGGAAACAGACCCCGGUGGGGCAUGGCUGUCCUCCGCUCCUGUCCUGAGAAGGUGGGUUAAGUCCCGCAACCAGCGCAACCCUUGGUUUUAGUUAAUUUUACUCUAAAAAC